GAUGAACGCUGGCGGCGUGCCUAAUACAUGCAAGUCGAGCGAACAGACGAGGAGCUUGCUCCUCUGACGUUAGCGGCGGACGGGUGAGUAACACGUGGAUAACCUACCUAUAAGACUGGGAUAACUUUGGGAAACCGGAGCUAAUACCGGAUAAUAUAUUGAACCGCAUGGUUCAAUGGUGAAAGACGGUUUUGCUGUCACUUAUAGAUGGAUCCGCGCCGCAUUAGCUAGUUGGUAAGGUAACGGCUUACCAAGGCGACGAUGCGUAGCCGACCUGAGAGGGUGAUCGGCCACACUGGAACUGAGACACGGUCCAGACUCCUACGGGAGGCAGCAGUAGGGAAUCUUCCGCAAUGGGCGAAAGCCUGACGGAGCAACGCCGCGUGAGUGAUGAAGGUCUUCGGAUCGUAAAACUCUGUUAUUAGGGAAGAACAAAUGUGUAAGUAACUAUGCACGUCUUGACGGUACCUAAUCAGAAAGCCACGGCUAACUACGUG
Molecule: ribosomal RNA, 497 nt
Filed under: uncultured bacterium
Lineage: Bacteria
Description: partial 16S ribosomal RNA
Rfam family: Bacterial small subunit ribosomal RNA
Source: RNAcentral